RNAcentral lists this ribosomal RNA (418 nucleotides) under uncultured bacterium. Its description in RNAcentral is "bacterial SSU rRNA". It matches the Rfam family "Bacterial small subunit ribosomal RNA", at positions 28 to 450 of the family's 1533-position model. The record is from RNAcentral.
GACGAACGCUGGCGGCGUGCUUAACACAUGCAAGUCGAACGGAAAGGCCCUGCUUGCAGGGUACUCGAGUGGCGAACGGGUGAGUAACACGUGGGUGAUCUGCCCUGCACUUCGGGAUAAGCCUGGGAAACUGGGUCUAAUACCGGAUAGGAGCCAAUUUUAGUGUGAUGGUUGGAAAGUUUUUUCGGUGUAGGAUGAGCUCGCGGCCUAUCAGCUUGUUGGUGGGGUAAUGGCCUACCAAGGCGGCGACGGGUAGCCGGCCUGAGAGGGUGGACGGCCACAUUGGGACUGAGAUACGGCCCAGACUCCUACGGGAGGCAGCAGUGGGGAAUAUUGCACAAUGGGCGCAAGCCUGAUGCAGCGACGCCGCGUGGGGGAUGACGGCCUUCGGUUGGUAACUACUUCGUCUAGGACGAAG